RNAcentral lists this non-coding RNA (29 nucleotides) under Cricetulus griseus (Chinese hamster). Lineage: Eukaryota; Metazoa; Chordata; Mammalia; Rodentia; Cricetidae. The record is from RNAcentral.
AUGAGGAUAAAAAUGAAUUUAGAACAGAA